Molecule: ribosomal RNA, 460 nt
Filed under: uncultured bacterium
Lineage: Bacteria
Description: partial 16S ribosomal RNA
Rfam family: Bacterial small subunit ribosomal RNA
Source: RNAcentral
CCUACGGGCGGCAGCAGUGAGGAAUAUUGGUCAAUGGACGAGAGUCUGAACCAGCCAAGUAGCGUGAAGGAUGACUGCCCUAUGGGUUGUAAACUUCUUUUAUAAAGGAAUAAAACGAGGCACGUGUGCCUUUUUGCAUGUACUUUAUGAAUAAGGAUCGGCUAACUCCGUGCCAGCAGCCGCGGUAAUACGGAGGAUCCGAGCGUUAUCCGGAUUUAUUGGGUUUAAAGGGAGCGUAGAUGGGUUGUUAAGUCAGUUGUGAAAGUUUGCGGCUCAACCUUAAAAUUGCAAUUGAUACUGGCAGUCGUGAGUACAGUUGAGGUAAGCGGAAUUCGUGGUGUAGCGGUGAAAUGCUUAGAUAUCACGAAGAACCCCGAUUGCGAAGGCAGCUUACUAAACUGUGACUGACAUUGAUGCUCGAAAGUGUGGGUAUCAAACAGGAUUAGAUACCCGAGUAGUC